AUCCAGCUGACGAGUCCCAAAUAGCACGAAAUGUGCGUCCUGGAU
Molecule: non-coding RNA, 45 nt
Organism: Schistosoma curassoni
Lineage: Eukaryota; Metazoa; Platyhelminthes; Trematoda; Strigeidida; Schistosomatidae
Source: Rfam